RNAcentral lists this ribosomal RNA (543 nucleotides) under uncultured rumen bacterium. RNAcentral describes it as "bacterial SSU rRNA". It matches the Rfam family "Bacterial small subunit ribosomal RNA", at positions 919 to 1482 of the family's 1533-position model. The record is from RNAcentral.
GGCCGCACAGCGAGAACAUGUGGUUUAUUCGAUGAUACGCGAGGACCUUACCGGGCUUGAAGUUAGUGACGGCGAUGAAGUCUGCUUCCUUCGGGGCACGAAACUAGGUGCUGCAUGGUUGUCGUCAGCUCGUGCCGUGAGGUGUCGGCUUAAGUGCCAUAACGAGCGCAACCCUUGCCGUUAGUUGCCAGCGGGUAAUGCCGGGAACUCUAGCGGGACUGCUACUGUAAGGUAGAGGAAGGUGGGGAUGACGUCAAAUCAGCACGGCCCUUACGUCCGGGGCGACACACGUGUUACAAUGGUGAGUACAGAGGGUUGCUACCCCGCGAGGGGAUGCUGAUCUCAUAAAACUCAUCUCAGUUCGGAUCGGAGUCUGCAACUCGACUCCGUGAAGCUGGAUUCGCUAGUAAUCGCGCAUCAGCCAUGGCGCGGUGAAUACGUUCCCGGGCCUUGUACACACCGCCCGUCAAGCCAUGGAAGCUGGGGGUACCUAAAGUCUGCAACCGCAAGGAGCGGCCUAGGGUAAAACUGGUAACUGGGGCU